This 1342-nucleotide ribosomal RNA is filed under the name uncultured bacterium. RNAcentral's name for it is "bacterial SSU rRNA". It matches the Rfam family "Bacterial small subunit ribosomal RNA", at positions 28 to 1387 of the family's 1533-position model. The record is from RNAcentral.
GACGAACGCUGGCGGCGCGCCUAACACAUGCAAGUCGAACGAGUGAGAGAGAGCUUGCUUUCUCGAGCGAGUGGCGAACGGGUGAGUAACGCGUGAGGAACCUGCCUCAAAGAGGGGGACAACAGUUGGAAACGACUGCUAAUACCGCAUAAGCCCACGGGUCGGCAUCGACCAGAGGGAAAAGGAGCAAUCCGCUUUGAGAUGGCCUCGCGUCCGAUUAGCUAGUUGGUGAGGUAACGGCCCACCAAGGCAACGAUCGGUAGCCGGACUGAGAGGUUGAACGGCCACAUUGGGACUGAGACACGGCCCAGACUCCUACGGGAGGCAGCAGUGGGGAAUAUUGCACAAUGGGGGAAACCCUGAUGCAGCGACGCCGCGUGGAGGAAGAAGGUCUUCGGAUUGUAAACUCCUGUUGUUGAGGAAGAUAAUGACGGUACUCAACAAGGAAGUGACGGCUAACUACGUGCCAGCAGCCGCGGUAAAACGUAGGUCACAAGCGUUGUCCGGAAUUACUGGGUGUAAAGGGAGCGCAGGCGGGAAGACAAGUUGGAAGUGAAAUCUAUGGGCUCAACCCAUAAACUGCUUUCAAAACUGUUUUUCUUGAGUAGUGCAGAGGUAGGCGGAAUUCCCGGUGUAGCGGUGGAAUGCGUAGAUAUCGGGAGGAACACCAGUGGCGAAGGCGGCCUACUGGGCCCCAACUGACGCUGAAGCUCGAAAGUGUGGGGUAGCAAACAGGGAUUAAAACCCCUGGGAAGUCCACCCCGUAAACGAUGAUUAAUUAGGUGUUGGAGGAUUGACCCCCUCAGUGCCGCAGUUAACACAAUAAGUAAUCCACCUGGGGAGUACGACCGCAAGGUUGAAACUCAAAGGAAUUGACGGGGGCCCGCACAAGCAGCGGAGUAUGUGGUUUAAUUUGACGCAACGCGAAGAACCUUACCAAGUCUUGACAUCCCUUGACGAACAUAGAAAUAUGUUUUCUCUUCGGAGCAAGGAGACAGGUGGUGCAUGGUUGUCGUCAGCUCGUGUCGUGAGAUGUUGGGGUAAGUCCCGCAACGAGCGCAACCCUUACUGUCAGUUACUACGCAAGAGGACUCUGGCAGGACUGCCGUUGACAAAACGGAGGAAGGUGGGGAGGACGUCAAAUCAUCAUGCCCCCUAUGACUUGGGCUACACACGUACUACAAUGGCGUUAAACAAAGAGAAGCAAGACCGCGAGGUGGAGCAAAACUCAGAAACAACGUCCCAGUUCGGACUGCAGGCUGCAACUCGCCUGCACGAAGUCGGAAUUGCUAGUAAUCGUGGAUCAGCAUGCCACGGUGAAUACGUUCCCGGGCCUUGCACA